CGGGGGGGGCAAACGUUGUUCGGAAUUACUGGGCGUAAAGGGCUCGUAGGCGGCCAACUAAGUCAGACGUGAAAUCCCCAGGCUCAACCUGGGAACUGCGUCUGAUACUGGUUGGCUUGAAUCCGGGAGAGGGAUGCAGAAUUCCAGGUGUAGCGGUGAAAUGCGUAGAUAUCUGGAGGAAUACCGGUGGCGAAGGCGGCAUCCUGGACCGGCAUUGACGCUGAGGAGCGAAAGCCAGGGGAGCAAACGGGAUUAGAUACCCCGGUAGUCCUGGCCCUAAACGAUGAAUGCUUGGUGUAACGGGUAUCGAUCCCUGUUGUGCCGAAGCUAACGCAUUAAGCAUUCCGCCUGGGGAGUACGGUCGCAAGGCUG
RNAcentral lists this ribosomal RNA (372 nucleotides) under uncultured organism. Its description in RNAcentral is "bacterial SSU rRNA". It matches the Rfam family "Bacterial small subunit ribosomal RNA", at positions 526 to 896 of the family's 1533-position model. The record is from RNAcentral.